RNAcentral lists this small RNA (28 nucleotides) under Bombyx mori (domestic silkworm). RNAcentral describes it as "ovarian small RNA-23860". Lineage: Eukaryota; Metazoa; Arthropoda; Insecta; Lepidoptera; Bombycidae. The record is from RNAcentral.
UAUGAAUGUUUCUUGAGAAUUGCCGUUU